This 3783-nucleotide long non-coding RNA is filed under the name Capsicum annuum. Its description in RNAcentral is "long non-coding RNA (CANN_LNC010231)". The record is from RNAcentral. Lineage: Eukaryota; Viridiplantae; Streptophyta; Magnoliopsida; Solanales; Solanaceae.
UCAUUUCUACCAAAAAAUCUGCCUCUCUCUAUCUUCCCACUCUCUAUACUUUCUCUCUCUCUCUAAAACCAAAAUAACAGAUGCCGCCUCCACCGCCUUCACUAGCAACCACUGGUAAGCUAUUUUUCUCCUCCCCAAGGUUUGCCGCCGCUGCACAAAAGUCAUGCUGCCGCCACAGCCAUCGCCGCCGGCGGACUCAACAAUUUCAUCUAAUCACCACGAUUCAGGUGCCGGUGAUCCGCUGCUCCUCCCUCUGUGUCCGUCGCCUCCUUUCCUAACACCACCAACAAUGGCAACAACCAUACCAACCGUCCCUCCAUUAUCCUUUUCAACCAUACCCUUCGUCCACCAGUUACAAAUGUAGAUGACAAGCAAAGUGCGACUUGAAUGUCUGACAUCUUUUUUGGCCCUGAGUUGACGAGAAGGUUUGCGUACUUUCAGCUUAGAUGCAUUUUUGAUAGACAAAUUCUUUUCGGGAGAUAUGUUCUUAGUUAUGCGCUUCUCCAGUGUAUUGUAAGUUAGAAGAAGCACCGAUAGGCUCUCUAUGUUUUAGACCAGGCUGUGGCCUUCGUACCACUUGUCAUAAGGUAAACUAUUUCUAUCUCCAUCUCCUUUUAUUUUCAUGUAAUUCUAUUUGAUAUUGUUUAUUCAUGUGUUGGUUUUAUACUUGGAUCGAUUUAGUUAUGUGUAUGGUCAAAAGCCUAUGUUUUGUCAUGACAAGAAGAAUUUUAAUCAGGGCAGCAGCACUAUAUGUGUUCACUUGUUAGGAUACAUUAGUGCUGCACCAUUUUUUCUUUUAAAAAAUUAUUUUUCCUUUAUAGUUUUCUUUCUGUCACUAUUUUAUUCUAUUGUGAUACAAAGAAGAAAAUGAAAGUUUAUUUUUCCUUAUAUUUGUUGAUGUCUUGUUCUUCCUUCCAGUGUUACUAACCUUUUUCUCAACUCCUAACUUGAUCUAUAAUUAUUUUCAUGGACAUCAUUAAUUAUCUGUCAUGUUGCAUAUAGGCCUGUUUUGCUAAAACGAAAUUGUACUGUUCGUGCAAGAUCUAGCUGUCUGUGAACAUUAAUAUCCAAAAUUAAGAGGAUGGAAAAUUUAAUGCCUUGCUCUACUAUAGAUCUUUAUUCAGGUUGUCAAGAGGCAAAAUCAUCCAUCAGUAGAUACAAAAGAUUAUAUAACUGUGUAUGGUCAGCGGAAUGUCAAACCACAUUUAAUGAUCUUAUAACUGUUAUAAGACUUGACAAACCUCCUUCCUUUUAAGAUAGCUUUUGGAUUGUGAGUUGGCCUUAAGCUAUGAGAGUCAGACACGUUAGGUCCGAUGUGGCGCCCUCAUAUCGUGUGGGGUUGUGAAGCAGGGUGCAGCUAAUAUGAACUUUGUAAUUUCAAUUGCUUUCCAUAUGGAAGUAUAUUCACACCGCACCUGUAUUUUUUUACUUCUUCAAUCCUAGAUUGUAUUACUAUUUCUUAUAAGAUCAUAACUUAAGUUUUGAUAUAAUAUGCAUUUUGGUGAAUGGAAUGUCCCCCGUUAUUAAAUGGGUAGAAUCUUGUGAUCCUUGUAAGGCCUGAGCAAUAUCUUUCCUUUGAGCCAGCUUUUGAGGUGUGGGUUAGGUUUAAAGCCUAAUUUGAAUGUUAUUAGAGGUAGGCCUGAUAUGGUCCCUUACAUUUGGGGAGUGAGUGAAAUCUUGAGAUCCUUAAAGGUGAACUUUUGUUUUGAAUUUACUUUAGUUUGGUAACUUGUGAAGUGAAUUAGUGGCUUGAAAUGUUUAAGUGUAGGUACUUGAAAGGUGAAUGUUUGUUUUGAAUUUAGUAGGGUACAUGGUCACUUGAGAAGUGAAUUAGUGACUUUGAUUUGUUUAAGUGUAGGUAAUUGAAAUGUGAACUUGUGUUUUGAAUUUAGUUUAGUUUGGUAACUUGUGAAGUGAAUUUGUGACUUGAAAUGUUUUAAGUGUAGGUACUUGAUAGGUGAAGUUUUGUUUUGAAUUUAGUAAGGUACAUGGUCACUUGAGAAGUGAAUUAGUGACUUCGAUUUGUUUAAGUGUAGGUAAUUGAAAUGUGAACUUGUGUUUUGAAUUUAGUUUAUUUUGGUAACUUGUGAAGUGAAUUAGUGAAUUAAAAUAUUUAAGUGUAGGUACUUGAUAGGUGAAGUUUUGUUUUGAAUUUAGUAAGGUACAUGGUCACUUGAGAAGUGAAUUAGUGACUUCGAUUUGUUUAAGUGUAGGUAAUUGAAAUGUGAACUUGUGUUUUGAAUUUAGUAAAGUACAUAGUCACUUGAGAAGUGAAUUAAUGACUUGAAAAUGUUUAAGUAUAGGAACUUGAAAUGUUAAUUUGUACUUUGAAUUAGUAAAGUACAGGUCACUUGAGAAGUGAAUUAGUGACUUGAAAAUGUUUAAGUGUAAGUACUUGAAAUGUGAACUUUUGUUUUGAAUGUAGUAAAGUACAUGGUCACUUGUGAAGUGAAUUAGUUACUUGAAAUGCUUAAGUGUAAGUACUUGAAAUGUGAACUUUUGUUUUGAAUGUAGUAAAGUACAUGGUCACUUGUGAAGUGAAUUAGUUACUUGAAAUGCUUAAGUGUAGGUACUUGAAAUGUAAACUUUUGUUUUGAAUUUAGUAAAGUACAUGUUCACUUGAGAAGUGAAUUAGCAAUUUGAAAAUGUUUCAAGUGUAGGUACUUGAAAUGUGAACUUUUGUUUUGAAUUUAGUUUAGUUUGGUAACUUAUGAAGUGAAUUAGUGACUUGAAAAUGUUUAAGUGUAGGUAUUUGAAAUAUGAACUUUUAUUUUGAAUUUAGUUUAGUUUGGUUACUUGUGAAGUGAAUUAGCAACUUGAAGUGAAAACAGGAAAAGCGACCACGUGUGGUCGGUUUUUGUGGUCGCUUUUCUUGUUUAUUCUAGUAGUGGUAGUUACUUGAAAAUAUGGUUAAGUAUAGUGACUUGAAACCUAUACUAGUGACUUGAAAAUUGUUAAAGUGUAGUUACUUAAAAUGUGAAUUAAUUACUUGAAAGUGGUUAAGUAUAGUUACUUGAAAAUGGUUAAGUAUAAUUACUUGAAAUGUGAAUUAAUUAUUUGAAAAUGGUUAAGUGUAGUAACUUGAAAUGUGAAUUAGUUACUUGAAAAUGGUAAGUGUAGUUACUUGAAAUGUGUACUGGUGACUUGAAAAUAGUUAAGUAUAGUUACUUGAAAAUGCUAAUAUAUACAUAUUUAUAUUUGUUGAUUGUUAUGAUUUUAUUUGCUACUAUAAUAUCAUAUAAUUUAUACUAAUAAUGUUUUUAACACUUUUUAUGACCUGAAUUAACAUAUUCUUAUGCAUAAUGAGUUUGAAAGAAAGAAACAAGAAAUAUUAGUUGCUCAAAGUGUAUCAAUUGUGGAAGAAGGAUGAGAAAAGAAUUAGACUUGUUGGUGAAACAUGUAUACAAGAAAUCAUCUGCAAAUGAUGAACGUCCAUCUCAAGAAGACAACCAAGCUUAUGAGGAUGAAAGUGAUGGUGACUCUGACGACGUGAAUGAAAUUGAUAAUCCUGAUAACGUGAAUGAAAGUGAUCCGAUCCUUAUGGUUGUAGUUUUAUUGAGGAUUCAAGUUUAAAAUAUUUUGUUUUGGACCAUUUAAGUAUCAUACAUUAUUGAUGUGGAUGUUUUGAAUUAUGUUUUUUUCUGUUAGCUGUAAGGGUUUACAUUAGAUUUGUAUUAAAUGAUGUUUUUGAGAAUUAUUAAAGGUUUUGAGUAGAUUUUUGAUUAAUUGUGAAAUGUUUUUAGUAAUUUACGUGUGAAUUAUUAUUUGAAAUUUUUAUGGGGA